GAAAAGUGAACUUUGCUUCUCCCUUAUUCUGUUCAGCAAGAGAGUCAGAUUCAGCAAGCAUUUAUUUAGCACUUGUGAGGCGCAAGGCCCUGGAUUUGGUCUAAAGAGGAUCGCAAAGAUGAAUCCGACAACACUGACAGAAAAAUACAAACAGUUCUUCACUCAUACAGUUUAUUUCUGCAUUCAGGUGAUGGUGAUUCAGACAUCUUCACUCUGGAAGUUUAUAAGCAUUUACAAAAGCACAGAAUAAGGAGAAGACACGGCUUUAAGUUCCAGCCUAUUACCUAUGAAACAUGGGCACUAGUCCAGUGAGAUGUUUCGUUCCUUUAUAGUCUCAGCG
This is a long non-coding RNA of Orcinus orca (killer whale), 340 nucleotides long. RefSeq lists it as uncharacterized. Lineage: Eukaryota; Metazoa; Chordata; Mammalia; Artiodactyla; Delphinidae. The record is from RefSeq and is a predicted model, not a curated record. The transcript has 3 exons.